UGAACGCUGGCGGCGUGCCUACUACAUGCAAGUCGAGCGACCAGACGAGGAGCUUGCUCCUCUGACGUUAGCGGCGGACGGGUGAGUAACACGUGGAUAACCUACCUAUAAGACUGGGAUAACUUCGGGAAACCGGAGCUAAUACCGGAUAAUAUAUUGAACCGCAUGGUUCAAUAGUGAAAGACGGUUUUGCUGUCACUUAUAGAUGGAUCCGCGCCGCAUUAGCUAGUUGGUAAGGUAACGGCUUACCAAGGCGACGAUGCGUAGCCGACCUGAGAGGGUGAUCGGCCACACUGGAACUGAGACACGGUCCAGACUCCUACGGGAGGCAGCAGUAGGGAAUCUUCCGCAAUGGGCGAAAGCCUGACGGAGCAACGCCGCGUGAGUGAUGAAGGUCUUCGGAUCGUAAAACUCUGUUAUUAGGGAAGAACAAAUGUGUAAGUAACUAUGCACGUCUUGACGGUACCUAAUCAGAAAGCCACGGCUAACUACGUG
Molecule: ribosomal RNA, 495 nt
Filed under: uncultured bacterium
Lineage: Bacteria
Description: partial 16S ribosomal RNA
Rfam family: Bacterial small subunit ribosomal RNA
Source: RNAcentral